Xenia sp. Carnegie-2017 is the source of this 569-nucleotide long non-coding RNA. RefSeq lists it as uncharacterized. The transcript is spliced from 4 exons. NCBI's taxonomy places the organism in Eukaryota, Metazoa, Cnidaria, Anthozoa, Malacalcyonacea, Xeniidae. The record is from RefSeq and is a predicted model, not a curated record.
CUUCUGGAGAAUACAAAGGAUUUGAAUACGCUCAACACUACUGAAUGCGAGAUUUAUGUUGCUUAAUGGCUUCAGCUUUGCUGAUUUUUGAUUUGUGAUGAGUCAAUGGGAUAUGUAUUUCUUUCACUCCAGCGACAUCAUGAGCUUUGGACAGUGUUGGAUUAAUGCGUCUGCAGUACAAAACUUCUUUCAUCAAGUCCUUAACAUAUCCUGAAAAGCAAAUCAUUAUUUAUGUUGGCUUUGCAUUGCACUUUGAGAAAAGGCUCUAACAUAUCAUGUUCACAUUUUGGGAAUACAUCACUAUGUCCCUCAUGGAUGUCACAUAUAUGAUUGAGAACUGACAACCACUUUGCCUUGACAAGUUCUUCAUCACCAUUGCUGGAAGCAGCACACCAGUAUACAUGGUUGGAAAUUGAUUGGGCCCAAUCCGACAAUAAUUUGCAACCACUUUUUUUGAUGCUGCCAAAAUUUUCUUUUUGAUUCCUGUUGGAAUUUGAUUAUUGAUGAAAUGUGUAAAAGAAGAUGCUUUUGGUUCAUAUGCCAAACAUUUGAAACACUGGGUAUCAAAU